RNAcentral lists this long non-coding RNA (29159 nucleotides) under Citrus x clementina. RNAcentral's name for it is "Citrus clementina (C. clementina) long non-coding RNA (CCLE_LNC001259)". Lineage: Eukaryota; Viridiplantae; Streptophyta; Magnoliopsida; Sapindales; Rutaceae. The record is from RNAcentral.
AAAUUCCAGAACAUCGGACAACAGCAAUAGAAACCCUACUAACUAGUACAGAAGUACAAGCUGAAGAAGAGAGAGCAUAUAUAUAAGUGAGUCAAAACCUUCGACGGAGGAGUUGUUGGAUAGCAUUAGCGACAGGAGCAGGUGAACUAACAUGUGGCAAAUGUCCAUGCGUCGGCAGAAACUCCAGCACAGUCGGGCCACCGAGAUGGCGUCGCAUAUACUCGGCAACCGCUGGCGGGACAGACAGAUCAACAGAGCUCUGAAUUAUACAAACGGGAACCCUAAUAAGGCCCAGCACGUGCCUUAGGUCAGCUGCAAACGCUGUUCUUGCGACAUGCAAGGCAAUGUCAGGCCUCAUGCUGAACAAAGUCCUGCUGAAUUCUUGGAGAGCCAUGUCAGGCACGUCCGCACCAAGUGCCAUUGGUACAAAGCCUGCGACCCAGGAUUCAUAAUUGCUCUCCAUUCUUCGGAACACUUCUUCCAUGUGAGCUGGAUCAAUACCCCCAAUAUAAUUCCCAUCAUUCGUGAACCUGAUCAUGAAUUCAUUAAUUAAUUCAUUUUAAGUUUAAUUAAUUUGCUCAUCAUAUUCAUAGAUCAGUGUCGUCUCGCAAGCUAAUAAAUUUGUAGUAAAUUAAACGGAAAAAAGAAUUAAAGUGAUCCAGAAAUUAAUUAAAUAAAACAAUUAUACAUACCUUGGAGAACCGCCAAUGAGAAUGAGUCUUGAGAAAAGGUUGGGACGGUGAAUGGCGGCUAAGAGACCAAUCAUAGCCGAUACUGAAUGACCAACAAAGGCGCAACGAUCAAUUUCAAGGGCGUCGAGAAAGCUGAGCAAGUCAUCAACGUAACCAUCAAGAGUGGCGUACCUUUGGAAAUCAUAAUUUGUUGGGUCGCAGCUUCCUGAGCACAUUAGGUCAAAGCUGAUUACACGAUAAGCACGGGUGAAACUAGGGAUAACGCGACUCCAUACGGAUUGGUCAGACCCAAAUCCGUGGGAAAACACGAUGAUUGACUGCCCUUGACCUACUACUCGAACAUUUAGUGCUUCCAAGAGAAAUUCGCCACGGUUAUUGUAGUCGGCCAUUUUAAUAGCAGAUUUAUUAAAAUUAAUUUAUGAGUGAACGAAAGUAAUAUCGCAAAUAUAUUACUUGAUUAGAAAGAAAUUAAUAUUGAUUGUUGGUGCAAGUUUUGAUAUGUCUCAAGGCCUUGUUUAUAUAUAUAGAAGAUGCAAGAGCGCGGUCUGGUGUCUUACAGGAUCUAGGGUUUUGAUUGGGCUGUGUCGAUGCUAAUUGACACUCAUGUCUGUGUAGUUUAAUUGACAAAGGAAUAAUGUUUUCUUUAUUCGUAUGAGCUUUUUCUAAGUAAAUACAGAUAUAUUAUUUGUUGUUAACUAAAGGACAUGAAUUAAGUAGAGAACAAAUGAUAUGCACCCCACCGUUAAAUCCCACUUCAACCACACCAACGUAAAUUUUUGGGUAAAUUUAUUAUUAAUUUAAAAUUUAGGUAAUUUUGCUAUUAGUUUAGUUUUUAUUUAUUCUUGUAUGUUAUAUAGAAAUUUAUGCGAUCAAGAGGACAAACACAUGUCAUUGGGCAACAAUUAAUUAAUAUGUUCUCUUAGGAGGGAAUAUUUAUUCGGCAUAAAUAUUGGCAUGAUGAGAGAGUUUUUAAUUUCUAUUUGUGUUAUAUCUUAUUAGAUUUUUGUCAUGCCUGUUUCUACAUUAUCAUAGAUGAUUAAAAUAUACACGUGAAAGAAUGAAUUUUGAUUUCGAGCAAAAUAUAAAAUUUCAAUUUGGUGAUUUUGGAUAAAAUGAUACAACUAAUUAAAUUAUGACCAUAGACACUAUUAUAAAUAUGCAUUUAACAUGUAUUUUUAAAAAACUUAAAAACGCAUCUUAUAUCGACGCCAAAUCCAACCCUUCAAAGCAUUUUACGUAAGUGGUGCAUGCAACUUAAACGCCCAAUUUUCUUUCUCACAGAUGGCUUGAAGAUUGGUCCCGUAAUGCUAGUUGCUUCUUACACUAUUAUGGCCCUCUGGAGGUUUCAUUCAUAUGAUUUGUAACUUUAUCAGGUCAUAUUUUCCUUAGGACCUUCUUAUGAUUUGUGGGCUUCUCAUGCGUAAAAUAAAAUACACAUGAAAUUGAUGAUUAAUGAUUAAUACACAUGAAUGAUCGGUGAAUAAUUGAUGAUAAUAUUGGAGGUAAAUAUUUUCUAAGUCCUAGUUUUUAAGUCAAUCACUUAAUUAGUUAGUCUAUAUAUUUUUAAAGAUUAAUCAAAAUGUUUAUGUUGUAUAUUUGUUUGUAUUAAAAGUUUCUUAAUAACUGAAUCGUUUUGAGUAAUUUUUAAAAAAUACAUGGAUUAACGAGUUAUUUUCUUAAAUCGUAUUGACUAAUGGGGUUAAAUGAAACGAAGGGAGAAGUAAAUGGUUGGGGGUUUGUAUUGUUCUUGAAAUCUCUUGGAUUAACUGUGGUAUUUAUACGUAGGAACUAUGCUUUAUAUUUAUCGGUAUAUGGUCCCAAUUUGGAAACGUCAAAAGAAAUUUGGGCUAAACGGUGGCAAACUAACCAAUCAAAGAAGAUAUAUAUUUGUAUUAUGCAAUUCAAGCUUCUGGUAAUUAAUAUUCAGAGAUAUAUAUUUAAUUAAUUAAUACCCUUUUAGGCUAGGUCUCGUUUUUUUUUGGUUGUUUCUGAAAAGGAUGGUUAGGUCUCGUUAAGAUGAGGAGAGUGGCGAUGAUGAUGUUUAGUCACGGGUAAAUAUAGUCUUUGCGAAUAUAAUGGACUCUAGCUCUGAAAAGUUGCAAAAGUGAAUGUACUCAAGCACAGAAUUUAGCCGAGAAUGUUGAUAAUGGCUUACGGUUUUCUUUUUCACUGUCCAUGCAAAAAUUGGAAAAAAGAAAAAGAAAAAGAAAGCUCAAACAUGCCACGAACUCCGAGCCACUGCGGACUUGAUUCACAUCCUAAACAUAAAAUUUCAAUUUGAUUUAUUUUUCUUGUAAUCUAAUCUCUCCCUAGUUAGUUGAGUUGUACAUUUAAACUAGUAGGACAAUAUAUAUUUCCUGAGAUUGUUAUAAAUGAUGCUGACAUUGUAACAAUAUCAAUCACAACACGGAAGAGCAAAACGAAAGAAAGAAAAGAAAGAAUGGACUCGAAAAUGAAUUUUGGAAAGAAAGACAAAUCCUCCUCCUCCGAGUAAGAGUAAUCGAGUAGUCUUUGAAGUGAGUAAUGAGGAAGGGGAGAUUUCGGUGGGUUUUGAAACCGGCUGGGGCAGCAAACUGUUUAAUUUCUUGGUUCCACAACUCCGAAGCCGACGGUGGUGGGUCAUGGUGCUGGCCGUUGCAGCCACUCUUCAGCUGAUAAUGGUGGCUCACUGCAGAGGCCAUUGCGUUACGGUGGUACUGGCGCCCAUGGGGGUGGGGGACCAGGACUGGUUGGCCUUCAACACUUGGCUAGACCAUCCAUGUCCAUGCAGGUCUCCUCUCCUGGAAGAAUUUUUCAGAAGCCACUUUCAGCUCCUGCUUCUGCUUCUGUCGACAUUGAGAAGCCUUAUUUCUUUUUGCGCCAUGAAUGCGCAAUCUGGAGUAGGAAGUUUGAGACUGGUGAUGACAUUUUCAUGCUACUGGAUAUGCACUUCUCCCUAUCUUCGUUCAACACUUUAAUGUGUGUGCGUGUGUUUUAAUUAUUUUGUUACGAAGGAAUUUGAUGAAACAAAGACAAGCUUUCUCAAAUUGUGAAUUUUAGAGGGUUUCUUUGACAGGUUUUAACUUCUAAUUUAUUUAGUAAAAGGUCCACUAAUAUUAUCCACAUAAAAAGGUGAAAAAAUAGUUGAUUUCUUGGUGCUUGAAAUAUUUUAUAUAACCUGAUAAAAAAAUAAACACACACGUAAACUUCUAUUUAUUUCUUUGUUUUAUUUAAUUUCUUGGGAGUGCUUAAAAAAUUUUCAAUAGUGGAAAUUAUUCCUCGAGAUUAAUUUUAUUGCUCCGACGACAUCUGAAAAAGCAAGAAUGUUGACUUUUGUGGAAAUUAUUCCUCGAGAUUAAUUGUUGUGGGAUUUUAAUUUUGUUUUCUAUUUUUAGCACAUAAUGCUAACGGGCACAAGCCCUUAAUUGUAAGUAAAACUUUCAAUUUCGACUCAUCAAUAACAUAUAUUAAUUUCACAAUUAAUUAAUGGAGUUCUUUUUUUUUUUUUUUGGUUAAAUUUUCCGUAGGGAUGAUUAUGCUUUUUGCACCCUAGAAUGCAGGGCAGCGCAGAUAGACUUUUUUGAGAAAAGAGACUCGAUGAGCCGUCGUUGGAAGAAGGAACGACAAAGAGCAGCCGCUAAAUCCACCACUGCUUAUAGCAAAUAAUUAAUUUAUUGUUGGUGCAUGCAAGAAAUUAUCUUCUGUCUUAUGUUAAAGCUGUAGUGCUUAAUUUGAAGCCUGUUUUAUCUUUUUAUGUCAGUCUGCGCUGUUGAGGAACACGAUGAAGAUGCACUAUAUCUAUGAAGUUUGCACUCUUUAACUACUUCUAUAUACGUUUAAUGUUCCUUCUGUUUGUGAUCUGUUAAUUUGUACUACAAGGUUUAUUUUCUCAUCAAUUUGUCUUUAAUUACAUAUAAAUGAGUGAGUCCAAUGAAUUGUGGGGGAUGGGCAGCGUAUUAUUCUUUGCUGGAAUUUUCGUGUAUGGGAUUUGAUGGUGUUGAUUUUCAAUAGAAUGAGUGAAGGAGAUGCCAUCAUUUUUCUGAUGAAAAGUUAUAGAACUUUUUUAGUUUCUCUUUUGGCUAAUCUCGAUGUAUUGUUUUUUGUCGAGGCAGAAAUCUGGUCGAGUUGUGUAACGACCAAAUACCUACACCAAAAAUUUGUAGUUGGGAAGAUAGUUUUGGGCUACACCUUCUUGCCUCAAGCAGUAAUUGGCAACCAUGAGCACUCCUUACUAAAAUAUAUGCGCUCAUAGAACACAAUUAAAGAAAUACUAGAGAUUUUUUCAGUGUUAAUCCUCCAAUGUUCAAGUCCGUUCUUUGAGUUUAUUAAUAAAAUAAAUAUGUAAGUAUCUAACUUUGAGUUUAUUAGUAAAAUGAAUAUAUAAGUAUCUAACCUCGGUUAUAUCUGCUUUUACUGAAAAGCUUUUUACAAGUAUGACGAAAAAUUAAAAAGAAAAGAAAGAAAAAGAAUAAACUCUUGUUACUAUUUUUUCCCUAGAGAGAGAGUUUGUGGUAUAAAGAGAGAAAGAUAAACUUACCAGUUUGAAUUUUUCGGAGGCCCUUAUAAAGGUUAGAGACCUAUGACUCUUAAAUUGGGAGAUGGAUGUUAGUGAAUCAAGUUAGUGCCCUGAUUUUUCAGAGGGGAUACGUGAGUUGAUCUCUAAGUCUGACCGAAUUUUUAGAUAGAUUAAAUUUCUCCUCGUAGGAUUCCUCUUCAAGAAACCAUCCGCUCGCAACUCCGUAAUUUAAGGAAGUCACUUUGCGAAUGCAAAUUGAAUCUAUUUCAAGGGGAAUUCUUGAUGUUGUCUACAUUUAGGCUGUGUUUACUUUUUGGAGUAAGAGUGAGGAGUGUGGAUUCCUCCCGCCUCAGUGUUUACUUCAACAAAUUGGCUUCGGAUUGGGAAUCCCUCUCCGUGGGCCCCAUCCAUUUUUGGAGUGGGGAGUGGGACUCACACUCCCACCUCUCCCUUUUCUACCCUUUUUAAUUUAAUUUAAUUUAACUUAAUUUAAUAUUUAAUAAAUUAAAUAAUAUUAUUAUGUUUAUUUUAAAAAUAAUAGUACUAUAUUUAUUUAAUAUUAAUAAUUAAUAAUAAUAAAUAGUUUAUUCUAAGAAAAUAUUAAUUUUGUACUAAAUAAUAUUAUAUUAUUAUUUUAUAUAAUAAUAAAUUUAAUAUAAUUAUAUUAAAUAAAAUAAAAUAAUAUUUCGUUUUAUAUUUACUCUCUUUUUAUUAAAUUUACUAUAAUUAUAUUUAAUAAAUAUUUAAAUAAUAUUAUAUUUAUUUAAAUAAUAUUAUUAUAUUUAACUAAAUAAUAAUUUGGUUUGAUUCUAAGUCUAAAUUACUUAAAAAUAAUAUUAUUAUAUUAAUAGAGAAUUAAUAAUAUUACUAUAUACCAUCUUUAUUUGAAAAUAUAAUAUUAUUAUAUUUAUUUUAAAAUAUUAGUAUUAUAUUUAUUUAAUAUUAAUAAUUAAUACUAAUAAAUAGUUUAUUCUAAGAAAAUAUUAAUUUCAUACUAUGUUAAUAGUAAAAAAUAUUUCAUUUAUAUUGCCCUUAUCAAUAAUUUUUAAUUUAUAUAAUUAAAAUUAAAAUUAAUAAAAAUUGUGAUGUUCAUAAUUAAAAAUAUUAAUAAUUAUUAUAAAUUUACAAAUAUAAUAAAAUAAAUGUUUAUUCAUUAAAUAUAUAUUUUAUUAACUUUGUAAUUAAAAACUAUAAUUCUCUAAAUAAGGAUAAAAUUGUAAUUUAAAGCCAUUUACUCCCCAAUCCAAGAUAAAGUAAACACAUAAAUUGAAUUUUGAUCUUCAUUUCAUGCUUCUAUUUUAGUGUAAGUAAAUAACCUACUCUCACUCCUAUUCCACACUCUCAAUCCUGGGAUUCCUACUCCUUAGGAUUUCUACUCCAAUCCAAAAAGUAAAUGCUAUCUUAGUAUUGAGGGGAUCUCAAUUUGCACGGAGAAACAUCUAUUCACGCUCCCUCCUUUUUAUCCACCAAACACUCCUAAUAUUUUAUAUUUUAUAAUAAACAGGACACAAUGAAAAAAAAUUAUUUUAUUGGAGGAGAGUCUAAAAUACUAAAAUCACCUUUUUGUUUAUUUUUUUUAAAUUUUGAGAAAUGAUACAUAAAAUUAAUAAAUAUAAAUGGUUUAAAAAAUAUUUUGCACACGCACCAAUCAAAUUAAUUUCUUAUGGAGUCUUCAGUUUAGAAACCGAGGUUUUUUAAUUCAAUAUUUAAGAUUAAGCACGUACAAUCCUAUAUUAAGUCCUGUUUCGUCAAUAUACUUUGGAAUAUUGACCUCCCAUUGAUUGCGUUUUUUUGGUUGAUGUUACAUAUGAUGAAGAUCAAACUAAUUAAUAGUUUUGUUUUCUAAAAAAAUUUCCAUGAUUUAUUUAGUUUAGCUUGUAAUUAAGUCAACGAUAAAACUGUCAUAAUAUUGUGGUUUAUUUUAAGAUAAACUAAGCAUAGUAAUUAGUUCCACAACAUCAUCAAAUGAGAACACCAAACUCACGUACACUUUUAAGUUUCGCAACAGCGGCCAAAAAAGGGCAAUUAGAGUAGCAGUUUCACGACAGUAAUGAAAGCUGAAAUUAGACAUAUUCCUAGGACAUUAGUGUUGCAUGCAUUUUAAAAUUCUUCCGGGGAUAUGGCUACCUCCAAAUUGCCUACCUUGUAGUCCCUGUAGCUUCUGAGGGCAUGUUCUUGGUGAGUCUAAGAAUGGUUGAUACCAUUCGUUCUGAGUCAACUGGCUUUGUUAGAUACGCAUUCAUCCCCACCCCCAAGCAUUUUUUCUCAUCCGCAUUCAUUGCAUGAGCCGUUAGUGCAACAAUAGGAAUAUUGCGCGCACCGUGUUCUGAUUCUGAUUUCCUGAUUUCUAUUUUUGCUUCGUAACCAUCCAUCUUUGGCAUCUGAUUUGUCACGGAGACGUUAAACACGUUAAAGAAGUUUGUUGAAUUAAUUAAUGUACGCAUUCAAUGUUAGCAAAACGAUACCAAGGAGUAAGACUUGAUUUCUUACUUGGCAAUCCAUUAAGAUCAAGUCAAAUCAAGGGGUAUCGGGAGUUUCUGAUGGAGAUCCUUGCAGGAGAGAUCUCCUUCUGGAACUUUCUGCUGCAAGCAUCCGGUUCAGAGCUUCUACUGCCUGCAGUCCAUCUGGCACGACAUUAACCGUUGCUCCAACCUUUUCUAAUAUUUUGCAUGCCACUAUCUGGAUCAAUGGUGUGUCUCCGGCUAGCAGUAUCCUUAGGCCUUCAAGAGUUCUAUUUUGAUUACCGGAACUAUUUGUAGAUGAACAAGGUUGAUCUCGACAACUGCUUCCAAUCUGAUGCCGUUCCCUGCAUUUAGAAGUUUAACAUUCAAGUUUAAUUUGCGGCAAUGAAAUUGCUUGUUUAUUGUCGACAAACAAUAUACUUAUAUAGUAUCUGAUGUGUCAUAUUCUAACCUGAACAUGGUGUGAAUAAGAUCUUCUGUUCUGGAACUGCUUUCCCCUGGACAUCUACUAUUGAACUCAAAUGAACACUUCCUGAACGUCUGGUGCUUUGAUGCACUAUAACUUGCAAUGCUUCCCCUAAUUUCCUCCCCAUUGCCUCCCGUAAUUUCCUCCCCAUUGCCUAAUGCGAUUAAAGAAACAGAUCCAUAAGAAUUAACCAAGCUGCAGGUACCUCUAGUGGAAUUAAUUAUUUUCAAGACAUUCUUAGGAAUUACAUACCUUCAUUUGUUGUACUUGAAAUUCUACUUAGCAUUCCAAGAUUUUUCCCCCUCACGGCAGUUUCCAAAAUUUGAAUCAUCUUUCCUUUAUAGAGCGGUUUGCUAACCACUAUAUUCUGUCCUUCCCUGCUAAGCUCUGUCUUUAUAGGAGACAUGGUUUGAUGGUUUACUACCCAUGCAAACAUCGCUUUCCGGUGGAAUAUGUCAGGGAGUUUAGCUGUUCCCUCCAUAAGUCUGAACUUAAGUCAAGUAGUGUUAUAUCAAUCACUACAACAUAAACAGGGUCAAUCAAGGCUUUGAUGUUAGUCAUCUCAGCUUUCAAAGGUUCACUUGAUGAAUAUGGAGCAUCAAAACCAUUACUAGAGACUGGACUGAUAGGAUCAAGGAGUUCCCGGAGAAUCCGAGUUAGCUCAUGCCACUCAGAUGUUUCCAAAGUGGACACUUUUUUCUUGCGUAACCAUUGGGAAAUGAUCAUUCUUUCCAUACUACCAACUGUUGCAAGCACCACCUACAUUGACAUGAUAAUGUGUGAGCUUUCACCCACGAGACGUGUUUUAUGUUCCAAACGAUGUAAUUUUGCUCACCACAGUGUUUGGAAAAUCAGCAUCAUAAAUCUGCUUUGAUUCUGAAGAUGCGCCCAGGAGCAGGUAUAGUUGCAUCAGAGUUCCUGGGCUGUUCUUCUUGACAACUUUGAUUUCUCCACCCAUCUUGUUCACCUGUCCUAACCAGGAUGAUUCAAAGAUGAAAGUAAUUCCAAAACCAGGCCUAGCAGAUUAAAUAAACCUUAAAAAAAAAAAAUUCUACUUUCAUAUUGGUGUACCCACCAGGGUUCGCACAAUGGAUAGCCCAAGGCCAGUCCCACCAUGCCUGGAAAAAUGCAAAACUCUUUAGACAAAAAUUCUGAAAGUCUCAGACUUUUUUGUUCCAUGAAUUGCUUAUUAUUCAUAUGCUUUUGAUGAAUAAAUUUUGUUAAUCUAUGCGAUUAAGUGUCAAUUUAAAUUUGUAUUUGAAGAAUCCAUGACAGGAUAAACCACUUACUUUCGGGUCGUUGAGGGAUCGCCUUGCUCAAAGCUUUCAAAUACUGUUUCCCAUUUGCUCUGAUCAAUCCCUAUACAGCAUAAGAAACAGGCAUGUAGUAAUUAUUCAGAUGUGGCAUACUUCUUUACCAAUGCAUACAGGAAUUUUUAAUUUGGUUUUAGACAUUUGAAAUUCGUACCACAGCCUGUGUCAUCGACUUCAAAGCAAAGUGCCAAUUUGUUAUCCUCCCGAAAAUUCAUUGCGUUUUUCGCCUGUUGCUUCAAUUUUGUCCUAAAUGCACGCCCUAAUUUCUUGCGAUCAGUAGGAAACUCUGCAGUGUUUUAAAAGUGUCCAAAUUCUUACACCAUCCACGGAUAAUAAUGUGCCCCGCUGUAAGAUAUUUGAAACAAUUUUCUGUAAGAGCGAACUCUAAUCAUGCAAUCACUACCACAAAAUUAAUAAAAAAUGGGACUGUUAUAACAGUCUACAUGAAGUAUCGCCGCAUAGAACUAGCAAACUUGGCUGCGUGAUUGCUGCACUUACAUGAUGUGAACUUGAUAGAGUUGUUAAUAAGAUUUGAAAAUAUCUGAAAGACUCCACCAGGGUCGUGGAAUGUUAUCUAAAAGGAAACAAAGAUUUGCAAUCAUAUAUCAGAACAUGAUAUAGCCAGAAAUAUACAUUAGUAGAAAAAAUAAAGUUGCACCUGAAAGGUCUAAGACGGUCUCCACAUUAUGAUUACUGCACUGCACAGAGAACAAGUCGACCAGUUCUUCGAGCUCCUUUUGCAAGUCAAACUCUGUAUUUUCCAACUCCAUUUUUCCUUAUUCAACCUGUCCAGUGUUCAGAGUAAUUAGUAGGAAAAUGAUUACUGAUUCAGAACUUAAUGUUUUGAACAUAGCUGUAUUGACUUGUAACUGACCUUGCUUAGAUCCAAUAUGGGAUUAAGAAGUCGGAGUAAAGCAUAAGAGCUUUUUUUAAUCUGGCAGACAGUGGAGUAUUGUUCAUUGGUUAAUUGAUCAUCGGAUUUAAGAAUUUCCAGUAGCCCGAUUAUAGCAGCCAUUGGUGUCCUCAAUUCAUGACUGCAACGCAACAAAAAGGCAAUUUACUUCUGACAGGCAGCACAGCAAGUGUAAAAACCAAUCGUUGUGGUUGAGUGAAGAUAGUUGCAGGCCUAAAUUGGAAUGAGUUCUCUUUUAAAUUAUUCACGGUUUCUGAUUUAACUUUUGCAUAUGCCGUAAUGAAUCCUUUAAUAACCUAGUAUGUACUAUGUUAUAGUACUUUCGAUAUUGUGGAAAUACUGACCUCAUAUUUGCUAGAAAAUGGCUUUUGUAGUUGUUUGAGGCCUCUGCUUUUCGUCUUGCAUCAAGAUGGCUUAUCAGUUCUGCUCUUAGUUUCAUUUCCUUUGAUACUCCAUUUGUCAAUAUCAAAAUGCAAAUACAUCCGAUGGCCAGGAUACAUACAGAUGCAGAUAUCAGUAUAAUCAAAGUUUUGUAGGCUCUCUCAUCUGCUUUUCCCAUUAUGUAUUCUCUUGGAAUGAUAAUGACACCAACCUGCAGACAGUGAAUCAAUUCAAUAUCUUCUGAUGCUUGCAAAGGCAAUAAAUGCAAUAUUGGUAUAAGCAAUCACACAAGAAAUUCAGGCACACAACAGAAUUAUGUAACAAAAAGAUUGCGUCUUCUACAUUGUCGAAACUUACAAUAGGUAGUCUCUUUAGAUUUAGAAAAAAUGUGUCCAUGUAAUAUUGCUUGUGGCCAAGCUUGGCUUUCUGUACAUGAAUCACAUGACCCGGGGGAACCUUCUUCCAUAUUCACUCUGCAGCCAUUGAGCUCCCAUUUGUAGUACAGGAUUAUCGGAGUCAACAGCCUUCACAAGCUUUGGUCGCUAGCAAGUAGCCUUCUUGAGAGGUCAAAUAUAAGUGCCCACUAUGUACUUCAACAAGUUCUUUCAUCAGCUGGCCCACGCUAGAAAGUGCAGUAGUGGCACCCACAACAGCCACAAUACUUUUAUUGGAAGUGGUUGGGUCCCAAACUGGCAAUGCUGCUGAAAGCAAUGGUGAAUUAGUAAACUUGCUCACUGCUACAUGCCAUGAAGCCACUCCAUCAGGUACUUGAGAGAUUCCUGCAAUGUUAAUUAGAUCGUCCGGUGGGAUGGGGCUUGCCUUUCCUAUCUUCUCACCAGUGAUGGGAUCGAGUGGUUCCCGGUACCAAAUGGCGGAUAUAUUACCCUUUAUGGAUUGAAGUUUGAGAAUAGUUCAUGAAAAUCGAAAUUCUAUCCAUCUCUAUAACUAAAGUUCGUUCAUGUUAAGGAAAAUAUCUUUACAAUCGACUUAUUCAAACAACACUCCAAAGAGACUGUGACUAUUGACUGAGCAGAUCAUUAAAACUGGUUAUUCUAAAAAGGGAGCAUGCAUGUACUUAACAACAUUGGAAUUAAACCAAAUAUAUAAAUGGAUUAGAUGAAGUAAAAAUUAUAAUGUGAUCGGCAAACAGUCAUUACAUUAUAUAACAGCGUAGGCGUACAUAAUGAUCAAGAAAGCAGAAUGAGAAGCCCUCACAUUAUAUUUAUCGUCCAAGAGCUACGAUUAAAAUAAGUCCAAACAGGCAGGCAAAGAUUCCAGCCGCAACCAACAGCUUGUGAGCCCUGUUAUCAUUCCUUAAAAUAUAACCGAGCACGCAAAACAGCAAACCCAACAUUCCAAAUAGCUUGCUGCCAAACAAAAGCGUUCUAUCAUUCGCUGUCAAAGACUUCCCAGCACUAUAUACGAUUUCCGCUGAAGCGAAAACUAAAGUUGCGCCGAUAACAAGGAAAAUUUCACCCAAGCCGGCAGGAUUCAAAUUGAACCUUCCUAAAUCCCGAGGCGGCGGCGGCGGCGGUGACGGCGGUGACGGCGGUGACGACGGUGACGGCGGUGACGGCGGUGAAGGCGGUGACGGUGACGGUGGAGGUGGCGGUGGCGGUGGCGGUGUUUCUGUUGGUGGUGAAGUACGCUCGUCACCACUGCCAUCUCCGCCCUGCGCCGGAUGUGUUGUUCUUCUUGAUUUCUUACACGCCUUCCCAUCAUUGAGAAUAUGUGCCUUAAUCAGCUUGGCCAAUAAAUUAUCCACCAAUUUAACCAAUUCAAACUCUUGCGCCCGCCUACUGAUUGAAUUCCCGGGCUUGACGGAACCCUUAUACAAAACGCCGGGUACUGAUGAUGAAAAAGAAAAUACUACCACCGCCGCGAUAUAUUCAAUACAUGCUUGAAUUAUCUCUUCGAUAUCUACGAUUUUUCGAGAAUAGUGCGCAAACAAGACAUUUGCUCCAGCACGCAAUUUAUCAGGCCUCGCAAUCUUAUUUGCGACGGCUGGAAGAGUCCGUUCGAAAGACUGUGGUUGUUCUUCUAUUGAACCGCUAACGCAGAGCAGACAAAAAUACUGACACAACAUCUGUAAAAACAAUAAAGGAACGGGAAGAAUCCCAUCAAAAAGCAAGAAAACUAUCACUUGGAGUAUACAAACCGCGGAGAGUAGGAGGACCGCCGUGGCCUUUUUUGACGUCAACGCCAUUCAGCGAUCGACACAGCCCUAGCGGACCGAUUAAAGAUUUUGAGAGAAAAUAUUCAAUUAAAAGUCCUUUUUUUAAUUAUUUAUUUACGUGUCCAAGAAAAUUGCUCGGAAAUGACUUUGUGUAAAAGAAGGUACAAAACAACAACAACGGAUGACGUAAGACAUGACCGAUGCCCUUUGAAAUUUUACAGUGCAAGUAGGCUUUUUUUGGGUACAUUUUAAUUUAUGAUAAUAUGUAAUUUAUCCUCAAGGUUCUAAAAAAUAUACAGCAGCGCAGAUCUUUUAGUGUAAUUCAACGAGCGAACUAAUUUAAAUUUUAAAUUUCUAGCUGAAAAUGGAAAAAGAUUGCAUAUCAAAUAUCGCUGAAAAUUCUUACGAUUCAAGUAUGCGAACUUUUUUGGAGAAUAGUUACACUCAUGGUCCGAAUCUUAUAAUGAAGCAAGAAUGUGAACUUUUUUUUGUAAAUGAAAGAAGCGGCUCGUAUUACAUAUGAACUAUAUUUUUCUUGUUAACAUAUAUUACAUGUGAACUAACUUGAAAAGCAGUCAUAUUUUGCAUAAACAAUAAAAGGUAAACAAAAGAAAUGACUUCAUUAUUGAAGUGGCAUGUGACAAUACAUAGCAGAAGGAGCAAGCUGAAUGAAUGAAGCUCUAUGUUACUUCAGCCUAAUCAAGCAGAAAAGAAAUUUCACAAACAGGUUGGUUCACCUCCCUUUCCAAAGCCGAAUCUUAUGUUUUAUUUACAUCAAUCAUCAGAGCAUUCAUGGCCCCAAUCAGGUUGAGCUUUGCUUUUCUGAAAGAAGAGCUCUCUAAGUUAUGCUUAACCAAGCUUGUUUUUCAUCACAACUUCCAUCCAGCCAUUGACAGAAUAAUAACAAUGUCUUGCUUAAGCCAUACAGAUGAAUAUUAGGUGCCUCUCAACCCACCUACACCUAAAGCAACAUAUGUCCAAAAAGGCAUUGAUUUUUCAAUAACAUCAUUUGCAACACUACCCUUAUGUUGAGAAACAAACAUGCUUCUCACCUUCACUUGUUUUUUUUUUUAAAAAAAAAAAAAACUUGAGCAUAUUCUCAAGAGGAAAAAAUUCCAAUUCCAACAGUGAUAUUAAGUGGGUUACAACACAUACCUUGGUUCCCUUCUUCAGGUUGCAACCUCACAGAUAACCAAAAAUUCUGACGUUUCCAUGACAUUUUCAAAAUGAUCAACUAAGACAUAAGGAUGAGAAGGACACAUAAGGAUACUUCAUAAAAGAGGUAUCACAAGGCUGCAAAGUGAGGCAUUUCAUUUCAACAUCAGCCCAUCCACGCACGAAAACAAAGUUGCUCAUCAGAAUUCUGUCUCAAAGGUGCACCUGGCAAUCCCUUUUCUAAAAUUAAUUACAGAAUGUAAAAUUAACAACCCUCCCAGGCUCCCACCGCCCUUAAAAAAAAGAAGGAUGGAUAAAGAAGAAGAAAAUAUGUGUGGUGAAAUAUAUUCUUAACAUGAAAACUGCAGAAAUUUGCAUUUCUAGAUCAAGAUUUUUUUUUCCCCACAAGUUAAUAGCAACAGGAAGAGAAUCUAACCUGAUUGUUGGAUAAAUUCUGAACAGCAACCACCCAAGCGUGACGAGGGGCGAGACAACCCCAGAAAGUGGCAAGGCAAUGCAUCCGUUGUGGAGUGUACUGCAGCAUGCAGUACCACACAUUACAGACCUCUUAUGGCAUAAACAGGCAUAGUUUGGAAACGCCUCCAUCCAAUAGAAACAAUAGUGGCAUCUCUAAUCUGGAGAAUGUCGUGCCAUCUGCGUCCUUUUAACCUAAACUGGAAGAAGCAAUGAAAUUGAAACAUCUUAUGACCUAGAGAUAUUGUUAAACUAGAUAAUAACAUUAACUAUCAAAAUUACAAUGAAACAGUAAAUCUGGUUAUUCUACCUAAGUUAAACCAAUACAUUUAGCUGUGAACUUGUAAGCCAUCAUUUUUAAUAUGAUAAAAGGAUAAAAUCUUAUUAACAAGAGAAGAACCAUGAAAGUUCUGUAGUGCAGCAGCAGUCUACUCAUUAUUACAUCAUACUGAAAUUGAAAACAAAACUAUAAGACCAUACAAAUGAAACUAUAACAAAUUCAAAUAUGCAAGAAUGAUGCAUGAAGAUAUCUACUGAAAUUGUUUAGUGAAAGAAACCCACAAAGAUGCCAAAAACAAACUUUGACCCAUCAUCCGGAUACGGUUUCAGGCAUCGGGGAAACUAAACUAAAUAACAAGAAAAAAACAUUAUUUAAUAAUUCAAGAGGCAGUUUUCUUUUCCAGGAUGACUGAGUCUGUUGCUUGACUUCAGCAGUUAGUAAUUACCAACACCUAAAUAUAUUUAAUCCAAAAAACAUCCACAAAGUUUUGAGUGGUAACUUAGAAAAGACAAAAUGAAAUGACAACCCAAGUGAAGGGAAAGUGGAGGAAAAAGAAAAAAAAUUCACCACUGCACAUCAAAAUGUGAUUCGAGUAUUCUUACCUGUAUGUACCCAAAUUUUCCUCACCAAAACUGAUUCCUCCAGCCAAAACAUGAUGGCAGGGGUAAAAAUGUUUGACCAUCUCAAAAGGAAGAUCAUGUAUUCCCAAUCUUAGAUACAUCCCCAUUCGAAAGCCCUCUAUCUCUAAUUGAGUGACCUCAUCAAAAUCAUUGAGCUCGGUUAUAUUCAUUUUUUUGCCAGGCCUCUGUAAUGCAGACUCAGCAUCAGGCACAGAUGUCAGGAGAUUAGUCAAAGGAAAUCUUGACUUGUUGAGAGGCAAUACCAAAUGAUGGUGCUCCUGAAUCUGAUUAUGAAGCUUUAGCUCAGGGAGCUUCUGAGUUGACAUGCUCAACCAAUGUGCCAUGCAAUCACACCAUAUUGUAAUUGAUGUGCAAUUUAUAACUUGAGUGAGAAAGGAGCAAACAAAGAGACUGACGUUGGGUAUUUUCCAAGCCAAAAGAAAUGGAGCAGUUGGUGAUACUUCUACUAAACCAUUGACAGGAGGGAGGUCCAACCAUCUUGAAAGCAGGCUCAAUGUUGGCAACAGACAAUAUUGCUUGAUGUGUAAUUUUAGAUAAAAGACACAGAAUACGACAUGGACGAUACUGGUAACACCCUAUAUUUGCAGACCGCUACAGAAGUUCAGUUAUGCCAAUGAUAUAAUCAGCUUAUUGUAGUAGAUUAAUCAAACUCCACAAGGAUUCUCAAAACAUUGUUGCAAUAUGAUUUAUCUUUUAGUUAGAAUAGAUUAGAUGAUGCUUCUUGUACAUAUAGGAAAUUGUAUUGAUAAUAUGUAUGUAAUUCAGGCAUACAAGUAUUAAGUGAUAGUUAGAGCCUUACACCAAUUGUCUCUGGAUAAGUAGCAGAGCAUGGCUGUGCUUGUUUGCUCUUUGAGCAUUUUUGAACAAAGCAAAUACCACAACCAUAAUUUUUAUUCAUGACACAAUCAUAACCUCACAUAAAAGUUUAAGGUAAAACAGAAAUGGGAUUAUGGAGCACAAGUAAUGGAAAGACAUUCACUCAAACAGAUCGCUUAAAUGCAAAAGGUAUGGCGGCAAUAGGCAACACACAAAGAGCACCAAUAAGCCACAGCAUGAGAUUUUCAGGAAAUAGGAUCCCCAAGAUUGACAAGAAUCCACAAACAGUGGCAGCACAUCCCAUUGCAGCCAUCAGUCGAGAAGCUCUGUGGCUACGCUGCACAAUACAAGCACCAAGGCACAGAAGAAAUCCAACAAAACCUAAAAGCUUGCCCACAAACAAGAGAGUUCUGGCAUCUUCUGAUAAAGAUGUGCCAGUGCUACACCGAAUUAGUGGCGCAGCUACACAUACUUCAGCACCGAGAAAGAGGCAUAUCUUGGCCAAACUAGGGAAACAGAGCUGUCCUUCAGACCGAGAGGAUGCCACUCUAUCGGAUGGUGAUCUAUUUGGCGGUGGCUGUUUGUCCCCGUCUCCAUCUUCAGAUGAUGCAUUAUUGUGAGACGGUGAGGCCAGCCGAACCGAAUUAGGAGAAAUAACAGAGUAGUCAUGGCUCAGAUCAUCAACUUGGAGUAUAUGCUUCUCACCACCAUUGUCUCCCCAAUGCGGCUGACUUCUAAAAGCAGUUGUUCCAAACAUGUUAUAUGGCUUAAGAUCAGGCCAACCAUUAAUAUGUGCCAAAAGUUUAUCCACUUGAGGCAGCGUAUCAGGCCACUUUCUUGAAUUCUUCCAUUUGAGGACCAGAGGUUUAUCCAACUCUAGCUCCAGACGUUCAGUACAGACAUUUACCCGAGGUUCAGUUGGAAGGUUAAUUUCACAUAAAGACGGACUCUCCCAAUCGUACCAAAUUCGUGAAACAUGGGUUGGUCUUAAUGACAAAGAAGGUAUUACCACUUGCUCUACGCUAGCUCGACGCCCAAACAACUCCAAGCGAGGAUCAGCUGGGUCUUGGGAGUCGGAAAUGGGAUUAAUGGAUGCCCUUCUGAUUUUUUCAUCUUGAGCAUGACAGGAAUCAGAGACCGUCUCCCUGUCCAUCCUCGGCAGCACAAGGAAAUUUUCAAAUGAAGAUUCCUUAACGUUAGCUUCAUGUGAAGACCCGUUUCUUGAAUUCUUCAAAUUGACGAUAUACUUACGAAAUUUCUCUGCCCUAGUUGGACGAUCAAUCAACUUCUCCCACCACCGUGACGGAAAUCCUAUACGAACAGUUUUGGGUUGGUGGUAGGAAAUAGAUGCCUUUCUGAUUUCAUCUUUUUCAGUACAAUUGGGAUUUUCAUCAUCUUCAGCAUAAUCAGUCGUCACUCGUAUUAUUCUUGUCGUCUCCAGCGAAGAAGGACGAUAAAGCCAAGAUACAAGAUCCUCCGUCGAGAUAUCUUCAAGCGCGUUUGCCAAUCGAUCGGAAAGAGCCAUAUGGCGUGUUUGGUAAAAUCAUUUAGGGCAUACGAAGAAGAUGAAAGAAAAGCAGUGGACAGGUAAUAUUUGCAAAUUAAAAAGUCAUCGUGAUUUUUAUUAUUAUUUUAUUUUUAUUGAAUUAUUUAUUUUUGCGCAGAGGAAGAAAUUACUCGGAAAUGACUUGUGGGAUAAGGUAACCAACACAACAAUGAAUGACGCAAGAUGUGACUCAUGCUCCUUUCAAAAGUUAUACCAAACCGUAUACAAGAAAUUCAACCUAAUCCCAUCUUUUAAUUAUUAAUAAAUACACGCCAAUGGGCUCAUUCGCACAAUCGAUGCGCUCAAGGUCUUUGUGUCAAAACUGGGGGUGGGCACCAUCCUGCCCAAUCCGUGAGCCCGAUUCAAUCCGUAUGAAUUUUUACGGGUUGAGGUAGAUUGAUAAAAUUUAUGGGUCAGAUUGAGUUAUUAAAUUUUCAACCUGUACUGUUUAUGAAUUAGGUUGGGUUGUAAAUUUUUAACCCAAUCCAACCCAUCAACCCGUACAUAUAAAAAUAUAUUUAGCAGCUCAUCUGCUCGUGCAUAGAACAUAACAACAUCACAACUCACAACGUUUCUUGAAAAGUUGCCCAAACUACACAUCGUCACAUGCUCAGGUUCUUUCUUCUUUCUAUUUUACUAAUUUAUUAUUGUUUUGAAACAAGUUGAUCAAUUUUUUAUUGUUAAAAUGUCUAGCCCAUUUGAUUUCAUGAUUUGGUGCUUUAUAAUAUUUUUUUAUUGAUAAAAGUUGGUCAAUUUCUGGUUGUUAUGAUGGUGUCAAGCUUAAUCAACAAUCGGAUUAACAUCAAUAAAAUAAUUAUUAUUAUUUCAAUCUUUGGGAAAAGGUUUUUCGACAAACAUCUGCUGGGCAUUGUUCUGCAAAAAUAUUUUCAGUAUUAACUAGUCAUCUUCGGUUGAAGAUAUGGCAUUUUAUGAAUCAAUUACAUCAGAUAAAUAUUUAUAUUAUGAUUUAUAUUUUUAUUUAUUUUUAUUUUCCUUGUAUUUAUUUGUUAUAAUAUAUAUGCCAAAUAUUUUUAUUUUUAUUGUUAUAUAGAUUCAAGAUUGGCAUCAGAUUUUGAUGUCAUUAAUUUGGAUUGAUAUGGAUUUUGAUGUCAUUGGACUGAUCUUCAUUACACUCCUGUUGGUUGGUGUUGAGCAAUGGUUUGGGGAAACUCUCUUCCUAUGUAUGGAAGACUUAUAAAAUUUUUCACUCUUUGGACUUCAAUGUUUUGUAUUAAACAAGAUUUUAAAUUUAUGGACUUUUAUUUUCAUUAGUUAUGUACUAAUAAUUUGAUUGUUAAAUUUUGAAAUAUUGGAUUUGUUGUAAGGAUUUUAAUAUUUUUUUUUUAAAUUUUUUUAAUUAAUUAAUUUAUUUUUGUUUAGAUCAUAAAAAUGGGCUUUUUCAAAAGCCCAACCCAAACAACCCAACCCGACCCAACCCGCAACUCUGCGAGUUGGGUCGAAUUUUUUCAAUCCGUUCUAUAUGCGGGUUGGGUCGGGUUGAUUAUCAACCCGACCCGUGUCCACCCCUAGUCAAAACCAUUGAUAGGAUUUAAUUUUUUUCUCAAUAAAAUUAAGUAAAAAUAAAAUUAUUUCUCUCUAAUUUAGGAUAAAAUAGAUAUUUUUUCUAUAUUAUGUUAUAAUAAUAAAAAAUUCCCUAUAAUUUAGAGAAGGAAGAAAACCUCACAUAAACGAAGGCCCUUAGGAAUCUUUCUUAUUUAGAGAGAGUACUAUAAUAAUUUUAUACCUAAUUUCUUAUUUUAGAAGGAGAUGGUGAUGAUUAUUUACACAAUUUCUUAUUCAAAAAAAGGACGUGGAUGGGGCGGAAUCCUCAUCCUCUCCCCAUUUUUUCAUUUUAAUUUUUAAUUUAUUUUUCUAAAAUUAUUAGUGAAUAAAUAAUAUUUUAAAUUAAAAAAUAUCAAAGAUUAAUGUAAAUAAUAAAUAUCCAAAUAUUUAUGCAAACAAUAUAAAUAUUAAUUAAUAUAAAAAGUUUAAUGUAGUUUAGACCUAACUAUAGCCCAAAGCCCAUAGUUUAUAAAUCAAACUCUAAGUCACUUUUUCACAAUUUUACUCAUCUUUUUAAAAUCAUUCGCGCCGUAGCCAACCCCAAACUUGUCAUCAUCUCGUCAUAGCCAGUAGCACAUUGCGUUGUCGACGACAAAAUAGCCUAACUCAUUACAAUGUCAGCUAGCAGCCCCACACACUACCUCGUUGCACCAUAGUUGGUGGGCAAAAGAUAUCAUUGUUGAUGGAUAAGAUUCAUGUCAAUAUUGUAUAAAAAUCAUAUUAUAUAAAUUUUAUUUUGAAAAUUAUUAUUUGAAUAUUAUAUAUACAAAAAAUUUGAUGAAGCAGAACGAAAUAAGACGUAUUCAUGAUCAUUCUCAUUUGAUUUUAUAUAUUUAAGGUUAAUAUGACUAAAUUAAGUUCGAAACUAAAAAGAUAUCAGUUAUUCGGAGAUGAUGGACUCUUAGGAAUCCAUGUUAUUAUCUAGGGAGGGGACAUAAAUCCCUUCAAGCAAUUCUAAUGGGGACGGGGAGGGGACGGGCACAAAUGUAGAAUAUCAGAGAUGAGUACGGGGAUGUUGGUCCUCUCCUCUCCCCUCUCCAUUGCCAUCCUUACUAUAAUCUCUCUAAUAUUAUACGAGCGUAGAAAGUCGAAAUGUGUCGUAAUAGAAUUAUUAAGGAUAGUCUCUUACAUUCUUUUUUAUUAUAAAUACUAAUAGAAUUAAUGUAUCUAAGUAAUAAUAUAUUAUUAUUAAUUAAUACACAAAACCAAAUGCGGUCACUAGUUAGGCCAUUGUUAACUUUCCGCGCGGGGCAGCCAUUGAAGACUUUUGAAAAAAGAAUACUCGAGAGGAAGAAUUAGAACCACUUCAAAUUGGAUCCUCAGAAGAAGACGACAACGACGAAGAUGGUGUUCAAAACCCAUGAAGAUAGCUAAGAAUCACACACUCACUCAUUGAUUUUUAUUGUGUAUUCCUCCCUCUCAAUCGCUUGAAUUAUCUUACUUGUUCCAAAUCAUUACCUGACGGCUUUCAUCAUUUUUGCAGCUCACCCAUUUAUGUUUCAUGCCCUCAUGCUCCUCGUCAUGCUCUCCUUCGCCGCAACGUCUAGCGCCUUGUUGAUCCGAAACAAUUCCCCGGGUGCACCCAUUUGAUGCUAUUACUUAAUUUUGCAAGAUUAAUGUGUGAUCAGUAAUGCCUGGAAACAAAAAUAAUCAAAAGAAAAGAUAAAGUACGGGAGAAUAGAAUCUUGGUGAGAGAUAAAAUAUGAUGUCAUUUUCCAAUAGAUUUACUUUAGAUUUAGUUAAAAACAUAUUAAAGUAACUUGUCCUCCAUUUUCAAUAGAUUUGGGAAUGCAAUGAGUGCAUAUCUAAUAUCUUCAAGUAGACUAAGAAUACACCUUUUCAUUUUGGAGUUGUAAUAUCACAAUCAACAAUGAUGACCUUUCAGGGAAUUUUAGUUGUAUAAUGCUAAAGAUUCUCUUAAAAAUAUACGUUAUUACACAAAUCAAACAAGUUAUUACAUGAUGUUAUAUAUAGAAAUUCAUUUGGUAAAAAAUCUAUUGUAUUAACCUCCAAGGAGAUUGCAUUUAAUUUUUUUAGUUGCGAAAGAAGAAUUUGGUGAGGUGGUGUAUGAAGAGAAAAGUAAUGACAUUUUGGUUUAUUUUAUAAAUUGAUUUUAUUAUAUGUGUACGUGAAAUUUUAUUACACCAUUCAUCUUUGGUGUCAAAGUCGUCGAUCGCAAUAAAAAAAUAUUUUAAAGAGUAAAUAUGAUAUUUUAACAAAUAAAUAAUCUUUUUUAACCUAAUUUGAAGGUCUUAAAUAAUCAAUUCGUAUGUAAAAAUGUUACAUUUAUACUUCAACAGCGUGUUUUUAUGCCACUAUCUUAAUAUUGGGGACAAAAAGAAACAUUAAAAAUUUAUCAGUAAAAAUCCAACUGAUAAAAACUUAAAAAUAAUGGAAGUGUCAAUAUACCCCCCCCCCCUCUCUCUCUCUCUCUCUAUAUAUAUAUAUAUAACCAUGUACUGAUAUUUGCAAUUGAUUAUGGAAUUUAUACUCUUCAUUAGAGGGUUGUUAAAAAUAAAAAAUUUACACAUUUUUUCUUUAAAAAAGUUGCACAAUACAUUGUAUAAUGAAUAAACUAUUCAUAGUGAUUUUUUUUUUCUUUUUGGUUCCUUAGGGUCCAGAAUUGAAACAAAAAUGCUAACUUAUGCACAAGAGAAUCACAAAAACAAUAUAUAGUAACUUGAAAAAUGGAUGAAACUUUUUGUUGAAAGAGGGGAGGAGGGUGUAUACAUGGGCGGACCCAAUGAAGGCCCAAGGGGGGCUUAGCCCCCCUUGGGUUAUUAAAUUUUGUUUUAAAUGUACCCCAAGCCCUUUCUGAAAAAGUUAGAUAAAUAAAUUUGGACACAUUUUUUAUAUAUCGAUAGGCUUGUAGUUCAAUGGUAAGAGUGUUAUUUAAUGGUUUUAAAACCUUGGUUCAAAUCCCAUUAGCCACAUUAUUUUAUUUUUUAAAAUAUUUUGUGGAAACUACUUCGAAAAAUGAUAUUUUCACUCAUUUAAAAAAAUAAUUUAUUACUAUUAUUAUUUAGAAUUAAAAAAAAGUAAUAAAAUUUAAGUUUAUAAGACUUAAAAUAUAUUCAAGUGAACAUUAAAAAAAAUCUAUGUUAAAUAAUUUUUUUUUAAACUAAACCCCCCUCAUUUUAGUUUCUGGGUCCGCCACUGCGUGUAUAUAUAUAUAGCAGUAGUAUAAUCAUAUAUGAUAAUGAGUUGUACCGUUUAUAAUUUAUAAACAUAACUUGUUCAUCUUUUUUUUUUCUUUUCUUUAUCAAAUUUUGUUUUGAUGACAUGGUAAAUACUUUAGAGACCGCUAUCAGAAACCAAAUAAAACAGUCGCAGCCAGUUUUUGUUUGUGCAGUGAACAUAAUCAUAAACGAAGCAUGACCACUUUUGUCUUAGUAUCCCGUACUUUUCAUCAAAUUAUAUACAGCCAAUAUUAUUUCCAGCUAAAAAAAUGUUAAGACGAUUAAGUGGACAUAAACAAAUAAACAAACCAGACUUUUAUAUCGUAAGCAAACGACUUACACAAGUCUCCAGAUCACAAUUACAGUACACAAAAACCUUUUACAACAACUCAUUAAUUAUAUAUAACAACAGUACCUAAGAAGAUAAUUAGUUAAAAGCACACACAAACCGCAAUAACGUCCACUUUCUAAUAAUGCAGCCAUAAAUAGAAAGUGGGAAUUUGGUUCGAAAGCACAAAUUACAACUUACUAAUAACAACUAAACAUAGCAUCAUCACAAAGUCCUUGACCCCAAAACAUACGCAUGCACUAGUUGAGAACUAAGCACAUGACUUUGAUCUGCAACAUUGUUACCCCAGAAGAUGCCCUAAGACAACUUGUUUACCUUUCAUCUUGAGCUUCUGCUUGCUCAUCACAUGAUAACUUGUGACUUUUACGAGCAAUAGUCUCAACAAUGGCGGCAGCCAACAGGUGUUCCUGCGCUGGCUUGUUGAGAAAAGUAUCCAUGCCAGAAUUGAACCAUUCUCGUUCAUUAUCUGCGGUUACCAGAGCUGUAAAUGCAAUUAUGGGAAUGCUUUGACCCUUUUCAGCUUCAGCUUCUAGCUUCCUGAUUACUCUUGUUGCUUUACAGCCAUCCAUGCUGCCCAUCUGCUUAGAAAUUAAUUCAAUUAAUUGCUUACUCAUGCAAUAAAAUGAGCAAAAUUUAAUGUGAUAUAUGCCUAAUGUAGAAGGAGAAAAAGAUACCAUGACUGUACGGCCCCACAAAUCCUAACUUAAAUGGAGGAGUGAAAAUUAGAUAAAAAAAAUUUCAGAAAAAAAAAAGUUGAAUGUAUGCAUAUAUUGAGAGAAAGAUGUCGGUGCUCAUGAGUACUUGGCAGUCCAUGAGGAUUAAGUCAUAGUGAGGGGAAUUAUGAGUUUCCAAAUUGGAUCCAUGGUGGAGGUUUUGAAUUUGAUGAUUUUUCCUAUCUGCAUUGAUCAUGAGGGUCAUGGCUUCAACGGCAGCCUCUCCAUCUUUGACUAGAGUAACACUAGCUCCAAGCUUUUUUAGCAUUCUGAUUCCUAUCCUUUGUAGUACUGCUUGAUCUUCAACAAGCAAAACGCUUAGGCCUUCCAAAACUUUCUUCUCAUCAAGGCCCGUAACAUCAUCAUUCACGAGACAAGAAGAGGAAGAGCCUUCAGCUUGUGGAAUGAUAUUAUUGGUGACGGGGACAGGCUCAAACUCAAGCUGAAGCCCAUGCUCAAGCUCAAGCUUUUCAGGAUGGGAUGUUGUUUCAGCUUGCUCUUUGCCAAUAGACAUAUUGUAUUUUGUAUGCAAAAGAGACCAAAGCUCGUUGUGUGCUUGUAGCUCUGGUUGCUGUGUGAAGAAACUAGCUAGGGCUUUUUGGUAUUUAAAGGCAAAGUGAGGAGAGAUGAGAAUCGGAUCCAUUAAUUUAAUUAACCGGGGACACACACAUAACAACGGAAAAGCCCGUCUAAUCGGGUGAUGGUGGUGGGUUCAUUUGUAUUUUGUCUAGGUUUUUAAAGAAUGAUUCGAAUAAAUUUCUAUAGGUAAGGGCAAAUAAUUUCACUCAUUUAUAGCAAGAUUUGUGUACCAAUGACAGUGAAUUAACAUGGGGUGCUUGUGAUUUGUGAUUGUGUGGUGUGUUAGUGUGUGCGAGCCACAAAUCAUUUUUAGUGGAGUAAUGUACAUUGACCAUUGGAACCCUUAUGAGUGAUGGAUGAAGAAAGUUUGGGGGGGGGGGGGGUCCGGGGGUGGAAGUAGUGAGUGAGAGUUAGAAGUUAGCUCAGAAUGUCCAAAAAUUACAAUAAUGAUCAAAUAUUGCGCAAAUUUUCUAAUUUUCUUUUCUUUUUCUUUCCUUGUUUUUUUGUAAGGCCCGAGCAAAUUUGCAAAAGCCUGGCACGAAAAUCAAGAGUGCGAUUCAUCAUCAUUCAGUGGUAUAGUACGCACAAGGUUUGAUUGAUCAUUCAGAAUCACAUCCUUGAUUUUAUUGAUAUCUUCAAAACAAAUCACACCAAUUCAAAGGGUAUCCAAUAAUAUUCUUAUCAACUUAAGGUGGCUGAGUUGAAAUGAAAGUUGGUCAAUGACUUAGCAAUUCAAUGAGCGGUCAAUACUCCAAAAUUACUUUACUUUGAAUUUGUUCUGAAAUGAGGACACCUUGUUUUAAUUACUUUGAAAGUGAAAGAAGCCUGUCGUGUGUGUGUGUGUGUCUAUAUAUACACGCAACGCGUUAAAAAGGUAAAAGGUGAAAGCAAGAUAUUAAUGGUCUAGUGAAUAGCAAUAAUUUCGUGUUAUAGAGCAAAAUCCCUGUUAUUAUUACGUAUGCUAUUUGAUUAAUUCAUAAUUUCAUCCCCCAUUCAAAAGAUACUAUAGAGUCACAUUAUUCAUGAGAUUUUAUAAUUAUUUAUGUAGUUAAGUUCUAAUUUAAUAAUUACUAUUAUUAAUAUUUAUGCAUAGCAGUCUGGUAAUAUUAUAUAUCUAAAAAGGAAAAAAGAAAAGAAAAAGCUGGAAAUGUGGUGAGAAUUUUUUAAAGUACAAUGAAAAUGUUAUGUAGGGUAACAAAAAAAAAUUGAUGCAGUGUAAUGUUGAGCGGAUCUAACAUAAAAAUGUACAGGAUGUAAAAUAUAAAGAUGUGUUAAAGAUAGAAAAGGGCAUGAGCGUGUGCAAUAAAUUUGCCUCUGCAAUCUUAAAGCAAAGAUUGAGAAGAUUACCAAAUAAAAGAGAUUUUGAAAAAGCUGGUCAAUAAUGACAUGUACAAUAAUGUUAAUACGUCCAGUAACAGUGGCACAAAUUCAGUUUCAUUCUGUGAACUGUCUAUUUCAAUCUUACAAAAGAGAGAGAGGGGCACAGUCUGUAAAUUCAUUGUGAGAUCUUCAAGAGAUUUGAUAGAGCUAAUUUUUUUUUUUUUUUAAAACAACGCUUGUUUUCGGGCAAAAAUGCCAAAACAAACAGUGUUUUCUAUUAUUGUCAUAUAUGCAAAGCAAAUCUUCUGCCAAAUACAUAAUUUUCAUUUAUAUUAGACCCUCUUUGGUAUUUAUAUUAGGCCUUAUUUAGUAUUAAAAUUGGACGUUUAUAAUUUUUGGUUAAGUAUUGAUUACUACAAUUUAGAAGAUAAGUUAAUUAAUCCACCACUUAUACGAUGAAAGACCUAUAAUAUAUAUUUUUUUAUCAAAAUUAUAAAAAAUAUAUUUACUAAACACUAUUAACUUUUAUUUUGUAAUUAUAUUUUUUUUACAAUUGUAACUUUUAAUCUCAAUAUCUUAAUACUAAACAUAACCUAGAUCUGAUAACCAUAUGAAAAAAACAAAAAAAGUAAACCGCUGUAAUUGCUUUCAGAGCUUUUACGACCGAAAAUUCAGAAGCAUACAAGUGUUACCAAUUGCCAAAUUUAAUUUAAUUACAACAAACAUAUGUACGAACGCAAAUCUUUUGUAUGAUUUUACUUUAAAAAGAAGUGUUAAUUAAACCUUACCCACAAUUUUUAUUUGUUCUUAAACGCCGCAGCAUGGUUUCGUCAACAAUGGAUCUUCAUGGGGAAGAAGAAAUUCAUAUGCACACACAAUAUGAGACACGACUUUAAACAAAACUUCUCUAGCCAUUAGAUUAGAAGUUAAUAAAUGGUCAAGAUCAGGUGAGGUGAAUUAAUAAUCAUUAAACUUUCUCUCUCUCUCUCUCUCUCUCUCUCUCUCUCUUAUUUAUUCACGUUUUCUCUCUAACAUUAUUUACUCCAUUUUUUCUUGUCAAAAUGUUUUAUUUUCUCUGGACAUCGUCUUGAUCUGCUUCUCUUUCUUUAUUGCUCUCAUCUUCUCUUCUCAUUUCCUCAAAAUUAAAGAUAGCCACUCAAUAUGGAUUUAAAACAUUAAUUUUGUGGAGAUUGACAAAAGAUUAUCCAAUAUUAUCGAAAAUGCAUAUUGCAAUUUAGCGAAUGACUAUUAAAGUUGGAUUCGGAUACAAUCCACUUUGUAAUCAAGUAGAAUUUUGAGGCUGCGUAAGUGUUUAGUUAUUUUAUGAUUACUUUAUAAGCUUUACAAGAAUGAAACUUUCACUUCUAAAUCAAAUUUAAUGUGUGGUAAUGAAAAUUUUGAUGGAGAUGGUUCUUGUUAGGGCCAUUAGUUUUAUCCUAAACACUAUUCAACAAUUACAAGAUUAAAAGAGUACAAAAUUAUGUGGAGAGUAAAUUUUACUAUAAUUUAAAUUUUAAAUUUGAGAAGAAAUCGAAUAGGCAACUAAGGGAGAAAACGUUGUUAAAAAAAGAAAGAGAGAGAGAGAGAGAGAGAGAGAGAGAGAGAGAGAAAAUAAUGAUAAAAUAGUUAGUAAUUAAUAAGAAGGAGAAAAGAAAUUAAAUGAGUUAAAAUCUUCCCUUAUAAUGAAUCUUAACCGUUCAUUAUCCAGUAAUCCACUGGUCUAAAAAUCAUGUUUAGAAUUGUGUAAAAAAUUGUGUCUCUUGAGCCAAUCCCGUGUGUGUGCGCGCACGCGCACGUACAUAUAUAGAUGGAAAUUUAGAGAAUUAGUUAUUAAAAUUAUUUUUUGAAACAAAAACAAAUAAUUUAUCACGGAUAUAUGAAAAGAAUAUAUAGAAAGAUAUAUGAAAAGAAUCUCGAAUGCAUAACUAAUUAUAAUGAUGGAUUUGCAAGCUUUUUAUCUAGGGACUCCCUCAAUGAAUUAGAUCAGUCAACUUUGAUUUUCAAGCAGAAAAAGCAUCACAACCAGAUUUGAAAUAGACCUAGCUCAUGAUAUAAAAAAUAAUUGGCACAAGAAAAGCCACACCAUAAGAUUAAAAAUCUUCAGCAAUGAUAAGGAUGCAGCCAAAAUGAUAUAUGCUUGAUAUAUAAAUCCAAGCUAAUUGAAAAUUUCUGUCACAUCUUAGACCUAUAUGAACAGUUGCAUGGAGCUUAUUUUUGUGGUAAAGCCAUGUUCACAAGUUUGAAUGAAUCACAUGCAAUUCAAGAAAAAGCCUGUUCAGCUGGCGAGAAAAAAGGACAAGAAGCAUCUUUCCUUCUUCAAGUAAGUUUCUGCAAUAAUUUACAGACAAUUCAUAAUGAGAACAACUAUUGCCAGGUUCCACAAUUCCAUUACUGCAACCAAUUUACAAAAUUCCUCUCACAUCCUUAAAAUUAAAUUAGAAUACGUAUGUAACCUAUAAUAAAUAGUUAAGGAAUAAAUUAAUUCUUAACCAAGCAUAUACAAGAAGUUAAUUAGAAUUAAGUGUAUAUUUACUAAAAUUUCCAAAAUUGGAAAAAUAACAAAAAACUAAGAUUUACGAAAUUGGAAAAAUGAAAAAGAACAAAUUAAGAAGGGGAAUCUUUCAUAGAACAAAUUAAAGAUAUCUAAACUAGUGGUCUAUGUGAAAAGAAUGUAAAGUGAAUUGUGAUCAUAGAACAAUCGAUUUGAAAUCUGCAGAAGAUUACUAGGAACUGGUGAUUAAUUGCUCUAACCAAAAUUAAGUUUUCCUUGAUCUUCAUUUCUUGAUGUGAUUCGCAUGCAAGGCAUUUUGGCAUGACACACAUAUAGUCCACAGGCAACUUGGGUUUAGGAUGAUGUAGAUUUUCUUAUUUUUGCUUUUGUAUAUUUGUCCCCUUUUUUUUUUUCGUGUCAGCCUUGCAUGGAUUUUAAUUUGUUUCUAUUUCAAUCACGAACACCUUGUUUUCUUUGCUUUUGAGUAACAAAUUACACCCUUUUCGGGAUUAUUAAUUUUAAGAAGAAAGAGUUGCCGACUUCUCAUAAGUACCAAAUAGCAUGAUCAAUCCCUUUAAUCAAUUUUUUCAUGAAACACUUGAAGAAAAAUAAACAUAUAAUGUUAGGUUUUGAAAAUCUCAUUUCCGAAUUCUAGGGAUAGAGUCUUGAUAUUUUUCUUGCCAAAAUAACCCCGGCCCAUCAAGUAAUGAGAUUCAGAUAUAUGAAAACUCCUUAAUUCAUUUUGUGUGUGUGUGUGUACACGCCUCCUGUUCUCUUGUAAAGAGUGGUCUUAUGUUCAGUUAAUAAGAUUAAAAAAAAGAAAAAAAAACUAGUACUGGAAUUUGCAGAAACGAUAACUAACCUAAAAUUACAGAACAUCGGACGAUAGCAAUAGAAACCCUACUAUCUAGUACAGAAGUACAAGCUGAAGAAGAGAGAGCAUAUAUAUAAGUGAGUCAAAUCCUUCGACGGAGGAGUUGUUGGAUAGCAUUAGCGACAGGAGCAGGUGAACUAACAUGUGGCAAAUGUCCAUGCGUCGGCAGAAACUCCAGCACAGUCGGGCCACCAAGAUGGCGUCGCAUAUACUCGGCAACCGCUGGCGGGACAGACAGAUCAACAGAGCUCUGAAUUAUACAAACGGGAACCCUAACAAGG